RNAcentral lists this ribosomal RNA (253 nucleotides) under uncultured bacterium. RNAcentral's name for it is "partial 16S ribosomal RNA". It matches the Rfam family "Bacterial small subunit ribosomal RNA", at positions 524 to 776 of the family's 1533-position model. The record is from RNAcentral.
UACGAAGGGGGCGAGCGUUGUUCGGAAUUACUGGGCGUAAAGGGCGCGUAGGCGGCCCUCUUUGUCGCGUGUGAAAGCCCCGGGCUCAACCUGGGAACGGCGCGCGAAACGGGGGGGCUGGAGUUCGGGAGAGGAGCGUGGAAUUCCCAGUGUAGAGGUAAAAUUCGUAGAUAUUGGGAAGAACACCGAUGGCGAAGGCAGUUCUCUGGGACGGUACUGACGCUGAGACGCGAAAGCGUGGGGAGCGAACAGG